Molecule: ribosomal RNA, 424 nt
Filed under: uncultured bacterium
Lineage: Bacteria
Description: partial 16S ribosomal RNA
Rfam family: Bacterial small subunit ribosomal RNA
Source: RNAcentral
AAUUUUUGACAAUUGGCGCAAGCCUGAUCCAGCCAUGCCGCGUGAGUGAAUAAUGCCUUCGGCUUGUAAAGCACUUUCGGACUGAAAGAAAUCGAGUAGGCUAAUACCCUGCGUGGAAGACGGUUCCGUCUUAAGAAGCACCGGCUAUUUACGUGCCAGCACCCGCGUUAAUACGUAGGGUGCGAGCGGUAAUCGGAAUUACUGGGCGUAAAGCGUGCGCAGGCGGUUGAUUAAGACAGGCGUGAAAUCCCCGGGCUUAACCUGGGAACUGCGCUUGUGACUGGUCAGCUAGAGUACGGCAGAGGGGGGUGGAAUUCCACGUGUAGCAGUGAAAUGCGUAGAGAUGUGGAGGAACACCGAUGGCGAAGGCAGCCCCCUGGGCCGAUACUGACGCUCAUGCACGAAAGCGUGGGUAGCAAACAGG